CACCGGUCCCGUACGAUCACCGAAGUUAAGCAACGUCGAGUCUGGUCAGUACCCAUAUGGGUUACCGCUUGGAAAUAUUAGGUGUUGUAAG
This is a non-coding RNA of Acanthosepion pharaonis, 91 nucleotides long. Lineage: Eukaryota; Metazoa; Mollusca; Cephalopoda; Sepiida; Sepiidae. The record is from the annotation of a GenBank genome assembly.